Acanthochromis polyacanthus (spiny chromis) is the source of this 582-nucleotide long non-coding RNA. RefSeq lists it as uncharacterized. Lineage: Eukaryota; Metazoa; Chordata; Actinopteri; Pomacentridae. The record is from RefSeq and is a predicted model, not a curated record. The transcript is spliced from 4 exons.
GAAGGACCCGUGUCAAGGUGUUAACUGAAAGACCCGUGUACAGGUGUAACCUGAAGGACCCGUGUCCAGGUGUAACCUGAAGGACCCGUGUCAAGGUGUUAACUGAAAGACCCGUGUCAAGGUGUUAACUGAAAGACCCGUGUACAGGUGUUAACUGAAAGACCCGUGUACAGGUGUUACCUGAAGGACCCGUGUACAGGUGUUACCUGAAGGACCCGUGUACAGGUGUUACCUGAAGGACCCGUGUACAGGUGUUACCUGAAGGACCCGUGUCCAGGUGUUACCUGAAGGACCCGUGUACAGGUGUUAACUGAAGGACUCGUGUCCAGGUGUUAACUGAAGGACUCGUGUCCAGGUGUAAGCUGAAGGACCCGUGUCAAGGUGUUAACUGAAGGACCCGUGUCAAGGUGUUAACUGAAGGACUCGUGUCCAGGUGUUACCUGAAGGACCCGUGUACAGGUGUUACCUGAAGGACCCGUGUACAGGUGUUACCUGAAGGACCCGUGUACAGGUGUAACCUGAAGGACCCGUGUACAGGUGUUAACUGAAGGACUCGUGUCCAGGUGUAACCUGAAGGACCCG